UACGUAGGUGGCAAGCGUUGUCCGGAUUUACUGGGCGUAAAGGGCGUGCAGGCGGUCUGUUAAGUCUAGGGUGAAAGCUCCCGGCUCAACUGGGAGAGGUCCUUGGAUACUGGCGGACUUGAGGGAGGCAGAGGAGAAUAGAAUUCCCGGUGUAGUGGUGAUAUGCGUAGAUAUCGGGAGGAAUACCAGUGGCGAAGGCGGCAUCCUGGACCGACAUUGACGCUGAUGAGCGAAAGCUAGGGGAGCAAACGGG
This 253-nucleotide ribosomal RNA is filed under the name uncultured bacterium. Its description in RNAcentral is "partial 16S ribosomal RNA". It matches the Rfam family "Bacterial small subunit ribosomal RNA", at positions 524 to 776 of the family's 1533-position model. The record is from RNAcentral.